AUUCCAUGAUGGGGACAUUCUAGGAUGUAGUCUUGGAAGCGCUCCCAUGCUUCUGGAACAGAUUCAUCAUGUUGUUGCUGAAAACUUGUAAUCUUCCCACAGAGAGC
This 107-nucleotide small nucleolar RNA is filed under the name Sorghum bicolor (sorghum). Its description in RNAcentral is "Plant small nucleolar RNA R71". It matches the Rfam family "Plant small nucleolar RNA R71". Rfam says of the family: R71 is a member of the C/D box family of snoRNAs containing the C (UGAUGA) and D (CUGA) box motifs. Lineage: Eukaryota; Viridiplantae; Streptophyta; Magnoliopsida; Poales; Poaceae. The record is from Rfam by way of RNAcentral.